GGAAAGGUGUCCGAGUGGUCGAAGGAGCUGAUCUCGAAAAUCAGUGACUCCAAAAGGGGCCGUGGGUUCGAAUCCCACCCUUUCCGCCA
RNAcentral lists this transfer RNA (89 nucleotides) under Alkaliphilus sp. B6464. RNAcentral's name for it is "tRNA-Ser". It matches the Rfam family "tRNA". Rfam says of the family: Transfer RNA (tRNA) molecules are approximately 80 nucleotides in length. Their secondary structure includes four short double-helical elements and three loops (D, anti-codon, and T loops). RNAcentral also lists the same sequence under 1 other name. The record is from RNAcentral. Lineage: Bacteria; Bacillati; Bacillota; Clostridia; Peptostreptococcales; Natronincolaceae.